This 515-nucleotide ribosomal RNA is filed under the name uncultured bacterium. Its description in RNAcentral is "partial 16S ribosomal RNA". It matches the Rfam family "Bacterial small subunit ribosomal RNA", at positions 28 to 523 of the family's 1533-position model. The record is from RNAcentral.
GAUGAACGCUGGCGGCGUGCCUAAUACAUGGAAGUCGAGCGAAUGGAUUAAGAGCUUGCUCUUAUGAAGUUAGCGGCGGACGGGUGAGUAACACGUGGGUAACCUGCCCAUAAGACUGGGAUAACUCCGGGAAACCGGGGCUAAUACCGGAUAACAUUUUGAACCGCAUGGUUCGAAAUUGAACGGCGGCUUCGGCUGUCACUUAUGGAUGGAACCGCGUCGCAUUAGCUAGUUGGUGAGGUAACGGCUCACCAAGGCAACGAUGCGUAGCCGACCUGAGAGGGUGAUCGGCCACACUGGGACUGAGACACGGCCCAGACUCCUACGGGAGGCAGCAGUAGGGAAUCUUCCGCAAUGGACGAAAGUCUGACGGAGCAACGCCGCGUGAGUGAUGAAGGCUUUCGGUUCGUAAAACUCUGUUGUUAGGGAAGAACAAGUGCUAGUUGAAUAAGCUGGCACCUUGACGGUACCUAACCAGAAAGCCACGGCUAACUACGUGCCAGCAGCCGCAGUAA